This is a long non-coding RNA of Oncorhynchus kisutch (coho salmon), 522 nucleotides long. RefSeq lists it as uncharacterized. Lineage: Eukaryota; Metazoa; Chordata; Actinopteri; Salmoniformes; Salmonidae. The transcript is spliced from 4 exons. The record is from RefSeq and is a predicted model, not a curated record.
GACUUUAGUCCCUCUCUUAUCAUGCGCCUGUCCAGUUAAGUUGUAGAGAGUGUGGGUGCUGUGAGAAACUCAGCCUCCACAAACAGGCUGGUAUGUUGGGGUGGCCUGCUUUCAUAUAGUUUGGGUGCUGUGAGAAACUCAACCUCCACAAACAGGCUGGUGUAUUGGGGCAACCUGUUCUGUCCUCAGUAUUUCAGACCAAAGCAUGACCAUUUUAAAGAUAUGGAUCUACAAACAGUAUCACACUACCCGGCAAUACAUGGAUGUGUGCACUGCACUCAUUCAAAAGUACUCCUCGUUGAGAGACCAGACAGGGAAGGGAUAUGUAAGAAUUGUUACAUUUUCCUACUCACAUUAAUUCACACACUAGUAACCUUUUUACACCAUUGUGCCUAUCCAGAUCAUGAUGUGCUGGCUUGAAUAUAUUCUUCUCACAUUGUUAAACCAUCACAUUUCCAGCAGCAUAACAAGACCAUCUCUAGUUAUGUAAUUGACUAAGUCUGCUCGUCUGACAUCGGUCCU